GGGGGUAAAAUUAAUAAAUAUAAUAAAAAUAAUAAAAAAAAUUUUAGUUAAAAAUAUAUAAUGGGGGUUAAAGUAUUUUUAAUGGAAAAAAUUAAUAGAUUUAUAGUAUAAUAGUAUUGUAAAAGAAAUUUUAAAUAAAUUAAAUAUAAAAAAUUAAAAUAAAGUAAAUUUAAAUUAUUGUAUCUUGUGUAUCAGAGUUUAUUAAAUAAAAAUUUUUAUUUAAAAAAUUCUCGAAUUUAAAAGAGUUAAUUAAUUAAAAAAGUUAAUGUUGAAUAAUUAUUUUAAAUAAUUAAUUAGAAAUGAAAUGUUAAUCGUUUUUAAAUAUAUCUAGUUUUUUUAGAAAAAAAUUUAAUUUUGAAAUUAAAUAAUUUUAUAAUUAAUUAAUUAAUUAUUAAAAAUUCAAGAUUUAAUAUAUUAAGGGAUAAGCUUUAAAUUAAAAAAUUAUAAUUAUUAAUUAUUAAUUAAAAUUUUUAAAAUUUAUAUUGUUUAGAAAUUAUAAUUUAUUAUAAAAAAUUUUAAUUAAAUUAAAAUUUAAAAAUAAAAUUUAAUUUUUUAUAAAAAAAUUAUUUUUAAUAAUAAAGAAUUAGAAAUAAUGAUAAAAUUAGUAUAUUAUAAAUUAAAAAUUAUAAAUUUAAUAAAAAUUAAAUUAAAGGAAUUCGGCAAAAAUUUAUAUUCACUUGUUUAUCAAAAACAUGUCUUUUUGGUUAUAAUUUAAAGUCUAAUCUGCCCACUGAUAAUAAUUAAAGGGCUGCAGUAUAUUGACUGUACAAAGGUAGCAUAAUCAUUAGUCUUUUAAUUGAAGACUUGUAUGAAAGAUUUAAUGAAAUAUAAGCUGUCUCUAAUUUAUUAAUAAAAUUUAAUAUUUUAGUUAAAAAGCUAAAAUAAAAUUAAAAGACGAGAAGACCCUAUAGAGUUUUAUAUUUAAUUUAAUUAAAAUAAAAUAUAAAAUUAAGUUAUUUAAAUUAAAUUAAUUAUUAUAUUGGGGUGAUAAAAAAAUUAAAAAAACUUUUUUUUUUAUUAAACAUAAAUAAAUGAUUAAAUGAUCCAUAAUUUAUGAUUAUAAGAAAAAAUUACCUUAGGGAUAACAGCGUAAUAUUUUUUUUUAGUACGUAUAAGAAAAAAAGUUUGCGACCUCGAUGUUGGAUUAAGAUAAAAGUUAAAUGCAAAAGUUUAAAUUUUUGAUCUGUUCGAUCAUUAAAAUCUUACAUGAUCUGAGUUCAAACCGGUGUAAGCCAGGUUGGUUUCUAUCUUUAAUAAAUUAUAAUAUUUUA
This 1271-nucleotide ribosomal RNA is filed under the name Apatura ilia (lesser purple emperor). Its description in RNAcentral is "partial 16S ribosomal RNA". Lineage: Eukaryota; Metazoa; Arthropoda; Insecta; Lepidoptera; Nymphalidae. The record is from RNAcentral.